UUACUCUUCUGAGACACUGUUCAUAAUGCCUUGUAUAUAGAUUGCAAAGCAGUGUUGUGUUGGGAGGGGCUGAUUUGAAGACCUGCAUGUUUCCAAGACCAUGGACAGAUUUUACACAAAUGACAAUAUGCGUGGUGGUGAAACUCGUGCAAAGAGGGCGCACAACAAGACUGCUCUGAUAGCGCUGUUCAUCUUUGUAGAAGCUGUUGGCGACACGCACAGAGGCCACGGAUGAUGAAACAAGGACCGCAAUGGCUUUAAAAUUAAAACAGGCUCCAGCGCUGAGUAGUAAAGGGGGCUAUCAAAACCCCACAAGAGAGUGAUGUUUAUAUUGUUUCCCCUUGUGUUUUGCCGAGCUGGUUGUUUUAUUUAUUUGAUAUGUCCUACAUAAAAUAUGUAUAUAUUUAUAUUGUAACUUAGUAGUUUUGUUCUAUUAAAAUAGCCCUCAUUUUUUAAUAUUGUAUGUAUAUUUUUACAUUUUUAAACAUGAUUUAAAAACAUUGCGCAUUUAUAUUUGUGAUGGUUGGAUAAUGUUUGAAAAAAUGUUUUUAUUCAGGUUCAAUUAUCGUUUUGGUUAAUUUUAACAACAAAAGGUGUAUUUAUAUCUGCAGCUAACAUAAGUAUGACUGUUAUUGAAACCUAUUUUUAUAUUAAAAAAAAAACGAUGUAAAUUUUCACACCCUGGACUAUCACUAAUCAAAUGCAUUUUCACAACAUCCUGGAACUACACAAAGGUAAGGAUCACAGGUUAAAUGAAUUGAAGAGAACCUCAAUGUUGAAUAGACGUCUAGAUGUUCAAAUGAUCACAAGCUAUUAGAGCGAUUAGCGCUAAUCACGCUAAUAGCUAUUAGCCAUCAUUCGAACGUCUACGCAAUAAAUGUCUAAAAAUCUUUCAAAUCUAGACGUCUAAUAAAUGUCUAAUAGACGUCUAUCCGGUAGACGUCUAA
Syngnathus acus (greater pipefish) is the source of this 947-nucleotide long non-coding RNA. RefSeq lists it as uncharacterized. The transcript is spliced from 3 exons. NCBI's taxonomy places the organism in Eukaryota, Metazoa, Chordata, Actinopteri, Syngnathiformes, Syngnathidae. The record is from RefSeq and is a predicted model, not a curated record.